This 1434-nucleotide ribosomal RNA is filed under the name Triticum aestivum (bread wheat). Its description in RNAcentral is "partial small subunit ribosomal RNA". Lineage: Eukaryota; Viridiplantae; Streptophyta; Magnoliopsida; Poales; Poaceae. The record is from RNAcentral.
AUGGAUGAAGACACUUGCUGCAGAGUUGCAGAUUUACUGCAAUGCCAAAUAUCCUCCUUCCCCUGCACAUACUUGGGCCUACCUCUCUCCACAAACAAGAUCACCCACGGCCUGCUCAUGCCUGUGAUCCACAGGGUUGACAAACGACUGUCUGGUUGGCUUGCCACCUUCCUCUCUUGGGGAGGGAGACUCACACUUAUUAAUUCCGUUUUAGCUGCUAUACCCAAUUACUACAUGGCAUGCUUCCUCUGGCCGAAACAAUCCUUGGAUAGAUUGGAGCAAAUUCUGAGGGGCUUCUUAUGGCAAGGUAAAAAUAAAGCAUCUGGUGGUCAGUGUCUUGUUGCCUGGGACUAUGUUACUUUGCCAAAGGCCAAUGGCGGCUUGGGGAUCAGAGACCUCAGGGCUCAUAACUUUGCCAUGAUAUGCAAGCUCACAUACAACAUUCUGCAAUCAAGUGGAAUACCAUGCUAUGACUGGUUCGCUUCGCAAUACUGCCAGCAUACUAUCCCCAUGGAUAAACAUCAUCGGGACACUGCUAUUUGGAAAUGUCUGGCAACAGCCAUCAAGACAGUAAUAGACUCAAUGAGAUGUACCUUGGGAAACGGAUCCAGAAUCUCUUUCUGGCACGACUGGUGGCUAGAUUGCGGAAGGCUAAAAUUCUCUUUCCCGAUUCUCUUCAUCUUUGCGCAAUCACCUUGUUGCACUGUUGCCUCGCAGUUCACUGAUGGACAAUGGAAUAUCAAGCUACAUCCGAAUCUGACUGCAACAGCCACAAGAGAACUGGAGGCUUUACUAACGAUUCUAGUUGGAGUUCAUCCAUCUCCUCCUCACGCACACACGGAUCAGAGGGGCCCUUCUAUGAAAUCUAGAAAAGUAACUACUGCCUCCUUCUAUGAGCUGCUCACUUUCAGAAGGAUCCUCUGCCCAGCUGCUCCAAAGAUAUGGGAUGCUAUAAUACCUAACAGGUACCGGGUCUUCCUUUGGCUGGCCUUGCGAGGUAGAUUAAACACAAGGGACAAUAUACUCAAGAAAGGCUGGAUGUCCAUCACAACGCACAACGGUUGCGACCUCUGCCCCGCAACUGAAACCAGCUGCCACAUCAUUCUCAGAUGUAGACUUGCUGAUGUUGUUUGGGAGCGAGCAGGCGUACAGAGUGAUGCAAGAAGAUUCAAUGACCUCCAAGAGUUCCUACUCGCCACGGAAGCCCCUGCAUAUGGCAACCUAUGGCAUACUGUCUUUGCAGCCUGCGCCGUGUCCCUCUGGACUGCCAGAAACGAGCAGGUCUUCCACAACACACGAUGGUCCGCUGGCAAGGUGCUGAACACGAUUACGGACCUCCUCCGCCUAUGGAGUAAUCGUGCGAAUAACGCUGAGGAUAGGCUUAAGCUGUGUAAUCUUGCUGCUCUUUUUCCUACCCCUUCUACCAUUCUAUAG